CCCUUAUUCAGAGUGAUGGAGGUACAAAGGACCUGUGAAGUCACGGCAACCCCGGUUGAGUAUGUCAGAAUUGACGUGCAAAAGGGCCGGAAGGUGCCAGCCUGAGCGAGGAGUGUGCACUGUUUCAUGCAUGCUUGAUCGAGCAAUAAGAG
RNAcentral lists this non-coding RNA (152 nucleotides) under Clostridiales bacterium. Its description in RNAcentral is "SAM-I sequence". It matches the Rfam family "SAM riboswitch aptamer (S box leader)". From Rfam's summary of the family: The SAM riboswitch is found upstream of a number of genes which code for proteins involved in methionine or cysteine biosynthesis in Gram-positive bacteria. Lineage: Bacteria; Bacillati; Bacillota; Clostridia; Eubacteriales. The record is from RNAcentral.